Molecule: unclassified non-coding RNA, 241 nt
Filed under: Ascomycota sp.
Lineage: Eukaryota; Fungi; Ascomycota
Description: partial contains 5.8S ribosomal RNA, internal transcribed spacer 2, and large subunit ribosomal RNA
Source: RNAcentral
CGCAUAUUGCACCUUAGAGUAUUCUUUAAGGUAUACCUGUUUGAGCGUCGUUUAAAACUUAAAGCUUUGCUUUUUGUUAGAUUUUGGUUGAUUCUCAUCAUACCAAUUUCUUAAACAGAGUGGCGUUAUUUUGUUAGCCGAGACACAGUGAAAAUGUGUGCCAAGUUGACAAGAUGUACUUGCCAGUUAGAACAUCUCCAUGUUCGACCUCAAAUCAAGUAAGACUACCCGCUGAACUUAA